CGACAAAACCAGCCAUCCCCAUCCCCAGAUUUCCGUUGCUGACGUGGCAUUAACCGGCAGAAAAAACAGUUAGCUCCUCCUCUCUCUCUCUCAACAGAGAGAGACACCUCCCUUUCGCUCGCGUGUUCACCAAAAUUUUCAAAAUCAAGAAUUCGAGCUCAGAAUAACAAAACCAAAAAAAAAAAAAGAAAAAAAAAAAACCCAAAGCCAUUGACAUUGUCUCUCUCCAACGCUUUCCUCCUCACACCAUCCCCUUUUCGUUCUUCGAAUUCCCUUCGCCGCGGUUCCAACGACCCCAACUUCUCCCCAAACGGUUAGGUUUUUCGCGUCCUACUCGGAUUCCUUGGCCGCAGUUCCGGCGCCGUCGUGUUUCCCCCCACAUUGGCACCGUCGAGCCCUCUCCGCUAGGGAGAAUCCCUGGAAUUCCGAGGUUUCGGCGGCGGAACGUGUUUUCUAGGGUUUCUUUGGUGCUGAAAGUGGUGAACCGGAGGCGAAUUUCUCUUCUACGGUAGUGACGUUGAGCUAUGGGGUAGGCGAUUGAGCUUAGCUUCGCUUCGCUUCGUUGAUUUGAAAAAAGGGUUUUCAUGGGGAGAGGUUGGAGUUUGCUUUGUUAUGGUAUUGGUAUUUGUAUAUGUUGUUUUGUUUUGAGUCGUUGUUCUAAUGGGUGUUGGGUCCAUUCUUGGGAAGCGCCUCUUAUUGUUUCAACUUGAAUGGCUGAUCCUCAGAAAACGGCUCCUGGCGAGAGAAACAUCGAGCAGGCAAUUACAUCUCUUAAGAAAGGCUCAUAUCUGCUGAAGUACGGGCGAAGAGGGAAGCCGAAGUUCUGCCCAUUUAGGCUUUCCAAUGACGAGUCUCUACUCUUAUGGUACUCUGGCAAGGAAGAGAAACAGCUUAAGCUCAGUACGGUUUCAAGGAUCAUUCCUGGGCAGCGAACUGCAACAUUUCAGCGGUAUCCACGGCCUGAAAAGGAAUAUCAGUCAUUUUCUCUUAUAUACAAUGAUAGGUCCUUGGAUUUGAUAUGUAAGGAUAAAGAUGAAGCUGAAAUCUGGUUUGUUGGUCUUAAGGCAUUAGUUACUCGAGGUAACAACUGCAAGUGGAGAUUGGAAUCAAGAACUGAUGACAGUUUGUAUUAUGAUAGUCCAAAUUCUGGCACACGAAGAUCCACUCCAUCAUUCUCUGACCCUGGAGAUGCUGGCGGAGGUGCUUUUGAUUUGCAAAAUAGAUGGGUAAAGGCUUUCUCUGAAAUAAUUUCUUACACUGCAGCUAGUAAGAGUUCCAGCCAAGCUGAAUCACUUGCAAAUUCCUCUUUAUCCUCUGGGUCUGUGGAUAACUCAAGCAAUCGAAAUUCUGCAUCUGAGGCAUUUCGAGUUAGUUUAUCUAGUGCUGUAAGUUCCUCCAGCCAGGGUUCUUAUCAUGAAGAUUUUGAUUCCAUAGGUGAUGUUUUUAUUUGGGGAGAAGGUAUCGCCGAUGGAAUUCUUGGUGGUGGUGUACAUAGAGUUGGAGCCUUAUCUAGUUCUGAGAUGGAUGCAUUCCUUCCCAAGGCACUAGAAUCAAAGUUAGUUCUAGAUGUUCAUAGUAUUGGUUGUGGCUACAGACAUGCUGUUAUAGUUACCAAGCAGGGAGAUAUAUUUAGUUGGGGAGAGGAGUCAGGAGGUAGGCUUGGACAUGGUGUUGAAAUGGAUGUUUUUCACCCGAAGCUCAUUGACACUCUUGGUGGCGUGAAUAUCGAGUUAGUAGCAUGUGGAGAAUAUCAUACGUGCGCUGUUACUUAUUCUGGGGAUCUUUAUACAUGGGGUGAUGGUACGCACAAUUCUGGCAUGCUUGGGCAUGGAAAUGAAGUCAGUCACUGGAUUCCCAAGAAAGUAAGUGGUAACUUGGAGGGUUUACGUGUAUCAUAUGUGUCCUGUGGACCUUGGCACACAGCUAUUGUUACAUCAGCUGGGCAGUUGUUCACAUUUGGUGAUGGAACUUUUGGUGCCUUGGGACAUGGAGAUCUUAGUAGCGCAAAUAUUCCUCGGGAAGUAGAAACUUUGAAAGGGUUGAGAACAACCAGGGUUGCCUGUGGUGUUUGGCACACUGCUGCAGUUGUUGAGGUGGUAAAUGAAUCUGUGGAAUCUUCUACACGCUCAUCUAAUGGAAGACUGUUCACCUGGGGUGAUGGAGAUAAAAGCCAACUUGGACAUGCUGAUAGGGAACCUAGACUAGUUCCUGAGUGUGUAAAUGCAUUGAGUACUGAAAACAUUUGCCGAGUGGCUUGUGGCCACAGUCUUACAAUUGCUUUGACAACGUCAGGACUUGUAUAUACAAUGGGAAGUACAGCACAUGGACAACUUGGCUGUCCUGCAUCUGAUGGGAAAGUCCCUACACGUGUUGGAGAUAAAAUUGCUGAUAGUUUUGUAGAAGAUAUUGCCUGUGGUUCAUAUCAUGUUGCAGUCCUGACUUCCAAGGCAGAGGUUUACACAUGGGGAAAGGGUUUGAAUGGGCAAUUAGGUCAUGGAGACAGUGAUCACAGGAAUAAACCUGCACUUGUUGAGUUCUUAAAAGAUAAACAAGUGAAAAGUGUUUUUUGUGGUUCAAACUUUACUGCUGUUGUAUGUCUUCAUAAAUGGAUACCAAGUGUUGAUCAUUCUACUUGUGUUGGAUGUCGCAAUCCAUUUAAUUUCAGAAGAAAACGUCAUAAUUGUUACAACUGUGGACUUGUGUUUUGCAAAUCAUGCACCAGCAAGAAGUCUAUAAAAGCUUCCCUUGCUCCCAGUUCCAACAAGCCGUAUCGAGUCUGUGAUGACUGUUAUCUUAAACUUAAGAAAGCUGCCGCUGAAUCAGUACCCUCGGUGCAAACUCCUAGCUUGAGAAGUGUAAGUUUGCAAGACAAUAGAAUCACUAAAGUACAGGGAACACUAUUAAGGCUUGCAUCUUUUGGCUCUAUUAUUCAAACAGAAAGUAGUCAAUCAAAGCUUCCAGAUUCACAAGAUAGCCAUCUUUUCCCAGCUUUAAAUGGAAAACCACUGAUGAGGGGUUUUGCUCCUUCAAAAUCAUCAAAUUCUCUUUCUAUUGAUUCCAAGAAACACCUUUCAGUUUCUGAGCCUUCUGCAAGAAUAUCUUGUCAAUCAACAUCAUCAGUUUCAUCAAAGUCAAGUCCAAGACAAUCUUAUGAAGAUAUAAAUGACCAUUUAAAGCACAGAAAUGAUAUUUUAAGUCAAGAAGUUAUAAGUUUAAGGACACAGGUUGAAGACCUUACUCACAAGUCAAAAAGUUUAGAGGCUGAACUUGAGAGAACAUCAAAGCAAUUGAAGGAAGUGACUGCAGUAGCUGCAGAUGAAGCUGGAAAGUGUAAAUCAGCAAAAGAGAUCAUAAAGUCAUUGACUGCACAGUUGAAAGAAAUGGUGGAAAGACUGCCAGAAGGACAUAAUACUGACUCCAGUACAGAGCCCUAUGCUGAAAACAGUAGUAGUAUUCUGCAUCAUUCCUUAGAUGAGAGCCAUAUAAGAAACACGGUCAUUCCCAAAAAUGAAGGCAGCAGCAAUGUAUCAAAUCUGAUAUUAGCUAAUGGUGCCAAAACACAAAGUGUAAAGGCAGAGUGGGUAGUGCAAGAUGAACCAGGUGUGUAUGUAAGUUUGUCCUCACAGCCAGGUGGUGGUAAUGAGCUUAGGCGUGUUCGCUUCAGUCGAAGGCAUUUCACAGAAGAACAAGCUGAAAAGUGGUGGGCUGAAAAUGGAACGAAAAUAUUGGAGCGGCACAAUAUAGUUGCUUUAUAGAAUGCAAGAGAAUCUGUUCCCUGAAGCAAAAACUCAUCCUUCUUCUGUGACGCUAUGGAAACAAUCAUCAUUGGUCAUCGGAAGAGACUGAAAACACUUCAGAUGUGCCAAUUUGUGAUUAGAAUCUGUCCUAAAUCCUGCAGAGAGAAAGGUUUUUAAUGGCAAAGGUUGGAAAAAUGGCGAUGACUGCUCAAAGCGCAUCUUCAUGGGAGCAAGUAGCAAAAGUACCAUCCAAGAACAUGUUCUCCAAUACAACAUUUUUCUUCCUCAAGUUCGAUGCCUUCCUAGAAUCCCAUGGCCUUAUCUUGAGUUUUUCUACUUCACUCUCCUUGUGUGCCCCUCAGGAUUUUGCCGUCAAUGGAAACCGAUGGUUUAAGUCACAUUCUUCCUAAACCUAAGUCUUCAAGCUCUGGUCCAAAUUCUCUGAUUUUGGGGAAGCACUAAGUGAUGGAGACAGGAUUAAACAAAGAUUGCAUAAAUAACCAUAAAAAGGGGAACUAGGUGUGUUUAAGCUCCUAAAACCUUGACAAUUAAUGAUCCAAGGAAAGCUGAAAAGAGUUAUAUAUGUCAACUAUUUGGAUUAAGAACAAACGAGUCAGUGGGAGAGGUAUAUUCAAAGCAGGAUGUGCUGAAACCUCUGAAGUUAUGGGCUAAAUUUGGGGCUUGCUGUGGGCCAAUAAAUUUUUGGGUUGGACUAUGCUGCCAUGGGUUUAAUUAAAGGGCCCCGCGCCCUUAAAAAUUCAAGCUACACCCGGAAAUUACAACCUGUCUAAUUUAAGGGCAUUUUGUUAGCUCUUUGCAUUUCAGCUUAUCACAGGCUAUACAGGUUGACACAAAUUCAUUUUUUUUCUUUUGUUUUUAUGACAUUUUUAAUUAUUAAUUCGAAUCUUCGUUUUCCUCAA
Glycine soja is the source of this 4657-nucleotide RNA transcript. It is a transcript of the gene named PH, RCC1 and FYVE domains-containing protein 1-like, with no coding region annotated. The transcript is spliced from 10 exons. NCBI's taxonomy places the organism in Eukaryota, Viridiplantae, Streptophyta, Magnoliopsida, Fabales, Fabaceae. The record is from RefSeq and is a predicted model, not a curated record.